Paramuricea clavata is the source of this 279-nucleotide non-coding RNA. NCBI's taxonomy places the organism in Eukaryota, Metazoa, Cnidaria, Anthozoa, Malacalcyonacea, Plexauridae. The record is from the annotation of a GenBank genome assembly.
CUCAAAUAUUUCCCAAAAUACCUGUAUAUAACUUAUAUAUACCCCCUUCCCCCAAGAAAAUGUCGCUGUGUGAUGAAAAGAUAUUAUAUUAGCCAUUUACAACAUGUUGGGAGCUGCAGUGCACCCUGCUUAUUUUUUUACUAUUGCCUAACGACUAACGCCAGACGAUUUUACUCAUCAAUGGGGAAGCUCUGCAGCUUAAUGGGUUUAACAAUUUGGAACACCAGAUACUGGAUGGCAAUCUGGCAAUUACUUCGUAACUACUGUAUGUUGCUUCCC